AACCUAACUGCUACCGUCCGCAAC
RNAcentral lists this non-coding RNA (24 nucleotides) under Arabidopsis thaliana (thale cress). Lineage: Eukaryota; Viridiplantae; Streptophyta; Magnoliopsida; Brassicales; Brassicaceae. The record is from RNAcentral.